This 299-nucleotide unclassified non-coding RNA is filed under the name air metagenome. RNAcentral describes it as "partial contains small subunit ribosomal RNA, internal transcribed spacer 1, and 5.8S ribosomal RNA". The record is from RNAcentral.
AAGUCGUAACAAGGUCUCCGUAGGUGAGUAACAGUCGAUUUUCUCUGUUUUACGAUCCCAUGUUUCGGACCAAAUACUAACUGUCGUGUCCAGGUGAACCUGCGGAGGGAUCAUUACGAGAGCUCCGAGAGGAGCGCUUCAAACCCGCGAACGUACUCUUGUUGCCUCGGUGGGCGGUCUCAGGGGAGACCUGAUGCCUCGGGGAGGUGUCCACCGAAGGACCAUUUUACUCUUUUUGUCACGUCUCUGAGAGCAAAAGAAAACAAUCAAAACUUUCAACAACGGAUCUCUUGGUUCUG